This 105-nucleotide ribosomal RNA is filed under the name Danio rerio (zebrafish). The record is from RNAcentral. Lineage: Eukaryota; Metazoa; Chordata; Actinopteri; Cypriniformes; Danionidae.
AAAGCUAGAAAAAGCUACUUUGGUCACAAACUGAAGCUAAGCAGAGCUGCGCCCGGUCAGUACCUGGAUGGGAGACCACAUGGGAAAGCUAGGUUGCUGCCAGAA